Molecule: small nucleolar RNA, 97 nt
Organism: Lathyrus oleraceus (garden pea)
Lineage: Eukaryota; Viridiplantae; Streptophyta; Magnoliopsida; Fabales; Fabaceae
Product: small nucleolar RNA Z266
Exons: 1
Source: RefSeq, a predicted model, not a curated record
GAAGCAAAGAAUGAUGAUUCAAUUAGUUGUGUGAAAGGAUUAAUCCUAUCUGAACUCAACACACUUGAGGCAUUUGAUACAUCUGACAUUUUGAUUC